RNAcentral lists this small nuclear RNA (104 nucleotides) under Anopheles epiroticus. The record is from RNAcentral. Lineage: Eukaryota; Metazoa; Arthropoda; Insecta; Diptera; Culicidae.
GUCCUAGCUUCGGCUGGACAUAUACUAAAAUUGGAACGAUACAGAGAAGAUUAGCAUGGCCCCUGCGCGAUAGUUUUUAAGCAGAUUAAAUUUGUUAAUUUGUU